CUCAUCCCCUUAUCUCAUCCCCUUAUCUCGUCCCCUUAUCUCAUCCCCUUAUCUCAUCCCCUUAUCUCAUCCCCUUAUCUCAUCCCCUUAUCUCAUCCCCUUAUCUCAUUAUCAGCUGAUUAUCAGCUGUUGUCAAACACAUAUGAGUCUGGAUAGACCGUUCCCUUCCUCGUUCAGCAUUACUAGGUUGUUGCUUCCUCGUUCAGCAUUACUAGGUUGUUGCUUCCUCGUUCAGCAUUACUAGGUUGUUGCUGGGUCGGUCAGUGUUACUAGGUUGUUGCUGGGUCGGUCAGUGUUACUAGGUGGUUGCUGGGUCGGUCAGUGUUACUAGGUGGUUGCUGGGUCGGUCAGUGUUACUAGGUUGUUGCUGGGUCGGUCAGUGUUACUAGGUGGUUGCUGGGUCGGUCAGUGUUACUAGGUUGUUGCUGGGUCGGUCAGUGUUACUAGGUGGUUGCUGGGUCGGUCAGUGUUACUAGGUGGUUGCUGUGUCAGCAGGCUGAAUGAACACGGUCAGGAGCUGGGUGUUAAAGAGACAAGUCAGAUAUAGGCUGGUGUGAACC
This is a long non-coding RNA of Oncorhynchus tshawytscha (Chinook salmon), 560 nucleotides long. Lineage: Eukaryota; Metazoa; Chordata; Actinopteri; Salmoniformes; Salmonidae. The record is from Ensembl.